UGUGUGAGGGUGUGUGGGAAGAUGUUUUGAUCAGUUUUCUACUGAAAAAAUAAAAUAUUCUUGAAUCAAGUCUUGUGAAAGUUGCGAAUAUUUAUUUAAUCCGCCCUGAGUUUUUCGGGAUCAAUAAUGUUCUUCAAGGAUAGUAUAGAUAAAACGAGGUGCGUUUGACUCAAACAAUGAAAAAGAAGACUUGCAUCACAAGACGCCUACACUCAUCACAAUUUACAGCAAGAAAUGUUUUGCAUCGACUUGGCACCGACAGAGGAGAACUUGCACAAUAGCGUAGCAAGGAUAAUUUGCAUGAUGUAUGUUUAUAUAAGCUUCUUAGUUCAAAGAAGGCUUGUAUAUUUCUAGUUGGUUAUUAUUCCCUUUUUGAUCUUAUGUCAAUUAUAGUCCCGCUCUGACUAA
Molecule: non-coding RNA, 408 nt
Organism: Bemisia tabaci
Lineage: Eukaryota; Metazoa; Arthropoda; Insecta; Hemiptera; Aleyrodidae
Source: RefSeq, a predicted model, not a curated record